This 534-nucleotide ribosomal RNA is filed under the name uncultured bacterium. RNAcentral's name for it is "bacterial SSU rRNA". It matches the Rfam family "Bacterial small subunit ribosomal RNA", at positions 355 to 906 of the family's 1533-position model. The record is from RNAcentral.
UGGGGAAUCUUGGACAAUGGGGGCAACCCUGAUCCAGCCAUGCCGCGUGAGUGAUGAAGGCCUUAGGGUCGUAAAGCUCUUUCGCCUGUGAAGAUAAUGACGGUAGCAGGUAAAGAAACCCCGGCUAACUCCGUGCCAGCAGCCGCGGUAAUACGAAGGGGGCAAGCGUUGUUCGGAAUUACUGGGCGUAAAGCGCACGUAGGCGGACCAGAAAGUUGGGGUGAAAUCCCGGGGCUCGAACCCCGGAACUGCCUCCAAAACUAUUGGUCUAGAGUUCGAGAGAGGUGAGUGGAAUUCCAAGUGUAGAGGUGAAAUUCGUAGAUAUUUGGAGGAACACCAGUGGCGAAGGCGGCUCACUGGCUCGAUACUGACGCUGAGGUGCGAAAGUGUGGGGAGCAAACAGGAUUAGAUACCCUGGUAGUCCACACCGUAAAACGAUGAAUGCCAGUCGUCGGGUAGCAUGCUAUUCGGUGACACACCUAACGGAUUAAGCAUUCCGCCUGGGGAGUACGGUCGCAAGAUUAAAACUCAAAU